UUGUCAGUGAUGAACAGGCCACACCUUGA
RNAcentral lists this non-coding RNA (29 nucleotides) under Mus musculus (house mouse). The record is from RNAcentral. Lineage: Eukaryota; Metazoa; Chordata; Mammalia; Rodentia; Muridae.